GUUUGGCACGCGCAAAAACGGACCUUGAAUUCAAGCUUCACUCGUUAAUUGGCCACAAACACCCCACGUCAUGCCUUGUGUUUUGCAGCACAGCAAUGGAGACUUCAGUUAAUGUACGGAAGUAAUGCUUGUUUGACAUGGGCCAUGUACAAACUUGUAAUUCCAACAGUGGACAUUGGCGCGUAUGUACAGUCUUUCAUCAAUGACGUCACCGCUGAGCCUGAAAGC
Thalassophryne amazonica is the source of this 228-nucleotide long non-coding RNA. RefSeq lists it as uncharacterized. The transcript has 3 exons. The record is from RefSeq and is a predicted model, not a curated record. NCBI's taxonomy places the organism in Eukaryota, Metazoa, Chordata, Actinopteri, Batrachoidiformes, Batrachoididae.